AGAGUUGGUAGAUAGCUCAUAUUGGUUGAUUAUCAAGUAUUCUCAGGCAAUGGUUUUAAAAUUAGUCGGGACUAAUAUUUUUUAAGUGCUUGACUAAGCAGUGAACUAAAAAGUGCCAGCAGUCGCGGUUAUACUUUUACUACAACAAAAUUUUGCAGAAUUAUUUUAAAAAUAAUUUUUAUUUAUGGGUUUAAUUUUAUAAAAUGAGUUAUUUUUAAUUUUCUUAAUAAAACUCAAAUUGUAACUACGGAUAGAAUCGUGUUAAUAAAUUUGUUCUUGAGUAAUUUAAUUUAAACUCAAACCUAAUGGCAGCUUAAAAAAAUUUUGGAGAGUCUUGAGCUCUUAACUGAUAAUCCUCUUUUAUAUUUAAAAAUUUUACUAUUUGUAUGGCUGUAAAAAGAUUUAUAAAUGGAAAUUUGAAUCAGGUUACACAAAAAAAUAAAUUUUGAGUAUUGAGUCUUAGUUAGCUUAUCUAAAAUCACUUUAUAAUAAACAAAAAUUCAAAAGUAAAUCUGAAUAUAUUGAAUACUUUUUUUAAGGGUUCAUAUUGUCCGUCAUUCUCUAUGAGACAAGUCGUAGCAAAGUAGGUGUUAUAGAAAUAGCACCUUAAAUUUAUUACAAAAAUUUUCAGGGAAAAAAUUCC
RNAcentral lists this ribosomal RNA (643 nucleotides) under Paracyclopina nana. RNAcentral's name for it is "small subunit ribosomal RNA". Lineage: Eukaryota; Metazoa; Arthropoda; Copepoda; Cyclopoida; Cyclopettidae. The record is from RNAcentral.